AAACUAAAGGCACUAGCUCUGUUCCCAGCUCUGCUACUCCGAGAAGGGGGGACGAAGAGGAAACAAUUAACAAACAAACUUUGCUCCUUUCUCUCUGGGGCUCACUAAAAGCGUCACUUCCUCAUACUGUAAGUGGAAGAGGCUCCCAAUGAGUUCAUUUAAUUCAACUCGUCCCUCCUGCUCCUCUCACAGAAUUUGUAGUUCAGAGUGUUAGCCGGGAAGCAGCUCCUUCCUCUCUUCCACCCUUGAUUAUUGAGGAGUUCUGACUAGCAGUAUCGUGAUUCUUGCUGCCCUUGCCUUCUCACAGAUUUUUAUUUGACCUUCUGUGCCUGGAAAUUGUUCUCUCACCCAGUGGAAUAUGUACUUCUGGGAUUUCUCAAUCUGGAAUAUAACCCUUUCUGUCACCCUGGCCUGA
Long non-coding RNA from Chelonoidis abingdonii (Abingdon island giant tortoise), 415 nucleotides. RefSeq lists it as uncharacterized. The record is from RefSeq and is a predicted model, not a curated record. NCBI's taxonomy places the organism in Eukaryota, Metazoa, Chordata, Testudines, Testudinidae.